RNAcentral lists this ribosomal RNA (440 nucleotides) under uncultured bacterium. RNAcentral's name for it is "partial 16S ribosomal RNA". It matches the Rfam family "Bacterial small subunit ribosomal RNA", at positions 338 to 795 of the family's 1533-position model. The record is from RNAcentral.
CCUACGGGAGGCAGCAGUGGGGAAUAUUGCACAAUGGGGGAAACCCUGAUGCAGCGACGCCGCGUGAGUGAAGAAGUAUCUCGGUACGUAAAGCUCUAUCAGCAGGGAAGAAAAUGACGGUACCUGACUAAGCAUCCCCGGCUAACUACGUGCCAGCAGCCGCGGUAAUACGGAGGGGGCAAGCGUUAUCCGGAUUUACUGGGUGUAACGGGAGCGUAGACGGCUGCACAAGUCUGGAGUGAAAUCCCGGGGCUUAACCGCGGAACUGCUUUGGAAACUGGGCGGCUGGAGUGCAGGAGGGGUAAGCGGAAUUCCUGGUGUAGCGGUGAAAUGCGUAGAUAUUAGGAGGAACACCAGUGGCGAAGGCGGCUUACUGGACUGUAACUGACGUUGAGGCUCGAAAGCGUGGGGAGCAAACAGGAUUAGAUACCCGGGUAGUC